AUUGAACGCUGGCGGCAUGCCUUACACAUGCAAGUCGAACGGCAGCACGGGAGCAAUCCUGGUGGCGAGUGGCGAACGGGUGAGUAAUACAUCGGAACGUGCCCAGUAGUGGGGGAUAACCCGGCGAAAGCCGGACUAAUACCGCAUACGACCUACGGGUGAAAGCAGGGGAUCGCAAGACCUUGCGCUAUUGGAGCGGCCGAUGUCAGAUUAGCUUGUUGGGGGGUAAAAGCCUACCAAGGCAACGACCUGUAGCUGGUCUGAGAGGACGACCAGCCACACUGGGACUGAGACACGGCCCAGACUCCUACGGGAGGCAGCAGUGGGGAAUUUUGGACAAUGGGCGCAAGCCUGAUCCAGCCAUGCCGCGUGCGGGAAGAAGGCCUGG
Molecule: ribosomal RNA, 388 nt
Filed under: uncultured bacterium
Lineage: Bacteria
Description: bacterial SSU rRNA
Rfam family: Bacterial small subunit ribosomal RNA
Source: RNAcentral